UGGACAGAUUAUUGUAUUCGACUGUAUUCACGGCGUGAAACAGGGGAUUACACUGUUUUUAAACGGAAAGUGAAUCAUUUAACAUAAUAGACUCCU
This is a microRNA precursor of Nicotiana attenuata, 96 nucleotides long. It matches the Rfam family "MIR6152 microRNA precursor family". Lineage: Eukaryota; Viridiplantae; Streptophyta; Magnoliopsida; Solanales; Solanaceae. The record is from Rfam.